Small nuclear RNA from Saimiri boliviensis boliviensis (Bolivian squirrel monkey), 104 nucleotides. NCBI's taxonomy places the organism in Eukaryota, Metazoa, Chordata, Mammalia, Primates, Cebidae. The record is from RefSeq and is a predicted model, not a curated record.
GUGCUCACUUUGGUGGCAUAUAUACUAAAAUUGGGAUGAUACAGAGGUUAGCAUGACCCCUGUGCAAGGAUGACACACAAAUUUGUGAAACGUUUCAAAAUUUU